AGUGAACGCUGGCGGCAGGCCUAACACAUGCAAGUCGAGCGGCAGCGGGUCCUUCGGGAUGCCGGCGAGCGGCGGACGGGUGAGGAAUGCGUCGGAAUCUGCCUCUUUGUGGGGGAUAACGUAGGGAAACUUACGCUAAUACCGCAUACGACCUACGGGUGAAAGUGGGGGACCGCAAGGCCUCACGCAGAAAGAAGAGCCGACGUCGGAUUAGCUAGUUGGCGGGGUAAAGGCCCACCAAGGCGACGAUCCGUAGCUGGUCUGAGAGGAUGAUCAGCCACACUGGAACUGAGACACGGUCCAGACUCCUACGGGAGGCAGCAGUGGGGAAUAUUGGACAAUGGGCGCAAGCCUGAUGCAGCCAUGCCGCGUGUGUGAAGAAGGCCUUCGGGUUGUAAAGCACUUUUGUCCGGAAAGAAAUCCUGUCGGCUAAUACCCGGCGGGGAUGACGGUACCGGAAGAAUAAGCACCGGCUAACUUCGUG
Molecule: ribosomal RNA, 484 nt
Filed under: uncultured bacterium
Lineage: Bacteria
Description: partial 16S ribosomal RNA
Rfam family: Bacterial small subunit ribosomal RNA
Source: RNAcentral